RNAcentral lists this ribosomal RNA (469 nucleotides) under uncultured bacterium. Its description in RNAcentral is "bacterial SSU rRNA". It matches the Rfam family "Bacterial small subunit ribosomal RNA", at positions 53 to 527 of the family's 1533-position model. The record is from RNAcentral.
GCAUGCAAGUUGAGCGACGUGUUCCCCGCAAGGGGAAUUACGAGCAGCAAACGGGAGAGUAACACCUUGGUAACUCACCUCUGAGACGGGGAUAGCUCGCCGAAAGGCGAAUUAAUACCCGAUAGUAAUGCGGGGGCGCAAGUCAUUCGCAUUUAAAUCCCGCAGCAAUGCGGGACUCGGAGAGAGGCCUAGGCCCUAUCAGCUAGUUGGUGAGGUAAUAGCUCACCAAGGCGACGACGGGUAGAGGGUGUGAGAGCACGACCCUCCUCACUGGGACUGAGACACUGCCCAGACUCCUACGGGAGGCUGCAGUCAAGAAUCUUCCACAAUGGGCGAAAGCCUGAUGGAGCGACGCCGCGUGCAGGAAGAAGCCCUUCGGGGUGUAAACUGCUUUUAUAAGGGACGAAUUCGUGACGGUACCUUAAGAAUAAGAGGUUGCUAACUCUGUGCCAGCCGCCGCGGUAAUACA